GUAGUCACCCCGAAAUACUCUGUCUAUUCCAGUACAAGGGCAAAGAAAAAGAGAUGAAAUAUUUUAACCUAAAAAAAAAGCUUUUGAAAAGCUGAUUAUGAGUUCUCAGUCCUGUGACUUAAUCCAAAGUUUGAGAGUUAAUCCGGCAAUUAAAGCUAACGUUCAAUGCAUACAUAUAGAGAUCAAAUUUGCAAAAAAUGAUGCUAUUUGCACAAGGUAAAUGCAAGUGAUCCUGUUGGUUCAUAGUGCUAUGACAUCUGACGGCAGACUGCAUCUAUUUGUCCUACAGCAGGGGGAAGCAAACUGUUGGCAAUGAUUUGUGGGUUACUCUGGGUUAAACUAUAAACAGAAAUUCAAAACGUAACACAUUAAAUAAGUUGUAAAGUGGUAAAUGGGCUGUAAGUUGCCAUUUUGUUCAUUGACUAUGCAUACGACCUACACACAAGGGAUUUCCCUAUCUUUGAGCAACCCAGGUUUGUUAAGCAAAGCAUUACGGAAAUAUUGGAAACAUAACAGCCAACCAGGCAAAUUGCAUCCAGAAUGCUUUCAGGAAUAGUUAAAUGUCUGCAUAUGAUGGUCACAGACAGUGGCAUUCAAAGCCACCUUUUUAGGUGGUUCAAUCCAAUGGUUCUAACCCCAGUAAAUUUUCAACAGAAUAUAAAGAAUUGCUUGGGGUAUAUACUAGAUAAAUUCAUUGGAUUACACCUUUAAAAGUUAAGAUCCAAUCCUCAUUGGUACUUUGGCAGCAUCAUUUCACCUUUUACACUGAAAAAGAUUCAAAG
This 782-nucleotide unclassified non-coding RNA is filed under the name Hevea brasiliensis (rubber tree). The record is from RNAcentral. Lineage: Eukaryota; Viridiplantae; Streptophyta; Magnoliopsida; Malpighiales; Euphorbiaceae.